GACGAACGCUGGCGGCGUGCUUAACACAUGCAAGUCGAGCGAUGAAACACCUUCGGGUGCGGAUUAGCGGCGAACGGGCGAGGAACACGUGAGGAAUCUGCCUUGCACUUUGGGAUAACUCCGGGAAACCGGGGCUAAUACCGGAUACUUUCAAAUGGCGCCAUUGCCGGUUGAAGAAAGUUUUCCGGUGGAGGAUGACCUGGCGGCCUAUCAGCUUGUUGGUGAGGUAAAGGCUGACCAAGGCGACGGCGGGUAGCCGGCCUGAGAGGGCGACCGGCCACACUGGGACUGAGACACGGCCCAGACUCCUACGGGGGGCAGCAGUGGGGAAUAUUGGGCGAUGGAGGAAACUCUGACCCAGCGACGCCGCGUGAGGGAUGAAGGCCUUCGGGUUGUAAACCUCUUUCGGCAGGGAAUAAGCGAAAGUGAAGGUACCUGCAGAAGAAGCACCGGCUAACUAUGUGCCAGCCGCCGCGGUAA
This 480-nucleotide ribosomal RNA is filed under the name uncultured bacterium. Its description in RNAcentral is "partial 16S ribosomal RNA". It matches the Rfam family "Bacterial small subunit ribosomal RNA", at positions 28 to 523 of the family's 1533-position model. The record is from RNAcentral.